UGGGUUGGCCAAAAAGUUCGUUUGGGUUUUUCCAUAAGCUCUUAUGGAAAAAGCAGAAGAAACUUUUUGGCCAACCCA
Molecule: microRNA precursor, 78 nt
Filed under: Tursiops truncatus (common bottlenose dolphin)
Lineage: Eukaryota; Metazoa; Chordata; Mammalia; Artiodactyla; Delphinidae
Description: miRNA (ENSTTRG00000025284.1)
Source: RNAcentral